Long non-coding RNA from Callorhinus ursinus (northern fur seal), 2066 nucleotides. RefSeq lists it as uncharacterized. The record is from RefSeq and is a predicted model, not a curated record. NCBI's taxonomy places the organism in Eukaryota, Metazoa, Chordata, Mammalia, Carnivora, Otariidae.
ACAAGCUGCCCUUAUUACUGCCCAGCCUUUCAUAGAUCUUUGCCGAGAGAAGCCUUGGUUGGUUGUCAGGAGCCCCGGAUAGAGCUGAGCCCCCACACUUGGCAGCCAUGUGAACUUGGCCACAGUUUCAGUGAGAAAUGUCCCUGCCCUAUCCUGGUUCCAUGGCCCCUGGCUGGUCAAGCAGAGGCCUUGAGGGGGAAGUAGAGCAGUGCAAGAGGAGACCAAGGCUCAGGACCCAGGAGCAGAAUUUCUUCCUGCAGAGAAGAUGCUGUAGCUAAAGGUCAGCCACACCCUUGCAGGAGAACAGCCAUCACUAGCAGGUGUUACCGGGGCCUUGCUGGCGUGGUUCUGCAUAUCAGAGGCAGAACAUUAACUGAUGGACUCUUCAACAAGCCCGCUGCCCCGCGACUGGCUUGAGGCUUCACACAUAGUGGACCAGGCACCCAGGACCAGUGGAAAGGAUUCCACGCCAGAACUGAGAGGCCUCAGGCUGGAUCCCGGCCCUCACUUUUUACCACAAAGCUUAUAAAGGUGUGACCCUCAUGGAUCAGCUGCGAUAUGCUGUUGCCUUCAGACAAGACAGUCUAAAUAACCAAAAAUCAUUUCAAAACGACUCAGAUUUGUUUCCAUCUGUUCCUCGAACACCUGGAAACCCAUAAUCACCUACCAGGAGCUCUUGAAAUCCUGCUUGUCUCUCUCCCAUUCACCGAAAGGUACAGCACAGGUGCUGUUCUCAAAAACACUUCACUCAAAAGACUUCCCCCAUCCCUGCCCCGUCCCCUGCACACCUCUCGUUUUUCUUCUCCUCUCUCUAUCCUCCCAAGUCUCUAUCCCAACAGAUUCUCCUUGCAGGGAGGAGGAAGGAAAGAGAUGGGAAUUUUCCUUAGUGAUUACAGGCAUGGGGUAGAGUCAAAGCCCUGGUUCCCUUGCCUGCCAAGUAGCAGUAACGGCAAAAUCCACGUCUCAAAGCGUGGAAGGAUCAACGCAGCCAAUGGACAGGGAAGGGAGUUUUCUAUCAGAGCAGAGAAACAGUUUUCUGUGCAUUUUCCUUCCUCUCUGCUGGGGUUGUCCCCAGGUCACCCAGAAGCAUGAACAGAUUCCUGGAUGACAGAAGGAUCUGGAUGCUUGUUCCAACGAGGAGAUACAGCUGGGGGCUGGGAGCAGGAAGAAGUGACAGUAGACAAUGUGUAGGAUGCAAGAGGCAGGUGUGGAGGGAGCAGGGUCCCUAGAGCAGAGGGGACACCCUGGGAUCGACGUGUGGGUUCCCCAAAGUCUAACAAUGGUGGACAACCGUGGACACUCCUUGUGUGAAAAGAGGUGGGCGAGGCAGAAAGAAAAUCUUGCCCUUGACCAAGGUCAAGCUGAACUGAGGGACUGAUCUCUGAGCUGGGGUGACUAGACACAGCCACAGAGACCCUCAUGUGUGACGCAAAGGCUGUGAUUUACCCUUGGCCUGAGGAUCAGUGUUUGUUGUUUUUCUUUUCUGUUGGUAAACUUCAGCUUUAUUGUUGUACGUGCUCCCAGGAGGGGGCAUCCAGUGACUUACAAGACCCUUCUGUGACUUUCUGGAGAGGUCACCCCUGGGCUGACAUCACGGGUGUUCCUGAUUCAAGGCUGUCGUCUGUGACCUUGAGGAGGGAGAUGGGAACAGCAAGGCUUUCAGCCUGAUGGGAGAAUCCUUGUGAGCCUCUGCAGCAAUGGGAUGGGAUCGGCGUUAAGCAUCCCACCUGGGCACAGGUGCAGGGAACAGGUUCAUCUCCCUUCACAGGGCAGGGGAGGAUGAGAAGGGCUCCUCCCGGAUUGGUCCAGAGCCCUGUUGUCCAAAUAAAGGCAGUAGGCUCUUGGUCUUGGCAUCAGCUCUUACCAUCAGGAUGGACAAGGGCUAACCAUCCACAUUUGCUUCCACGCCCCCCUUUUUUGAUAUAAGAAAUAAAACAUUGCCAAUAGAAAGAAAGUCCCCCUGGUUCUUCCUCAGUCCCUACGUCCUCUCCUUCUUCUAAGAUUAUCACUGCUGUAAAUUUGAUGUGUGUGCUCUGGCCCAUUAACAAAUAUAUAUAUAUUACACA